This 406-nucleotide ribosomal RNA is filed under the name uncultured bacterium. RNAcentral describes it as "partial 16S ribosomal RNA". It matches the Rfam family "Bacterial small subunit ribosomal RNA", at positions 30 to 526 of the family's 1533-position model. The record is from RNAcentral.
AUUGAACGCUGGCGGCAGGCCUAACACAUUCAAGUCGAGCGAGCGGCGGACGGGUGAGUAAUGUAUGGGGCUCUGCCCGAUAGAGGGGGAUAACUACUGGAAACGGUGGCUAAUACCGCAUACUUUCGGAUGAACCCAUAUGGGAUUAGCUUGUAGGUGGGGUAAAGGCUCACCUAGGCGACGAUCUCUAGCUGGUCUGAGAGGAUGACCAGCCAAACUGGAACUGAGACACGGUCCAGACUCCUACGCGAGGCAGCAGUGGGGAAUAUUGCACAAUGGGCGCAAGCCUGAUGCAGCCAUGCCGCGUGUGUGAAGAAGGCCUUCGGGUUGUAAAGCACUUUCAGCGAGGAGGCGUUACUCGCAGAAGAGGCACCGGCUAACUCCGUGCCAGCAGCCGCGGUAAUAC